ACCUGGGUGGCUCAGUCGGUUGAGCAUCUGACUUCAGCUCAGGGUCAUGAUCUCGUGGUUCGUGAGUUCGAGCCCCACGUCAGGCU
This 86-nucleotide transfer RNA is filed under the name Felis catus (domestic cat). It matches the Rfam family "tRNA". From Rfam's summary of the family: Transfer RNA (tRNA) molecules are approximately 80 nucleotides in length. Their secondary structure includes four short double-helical elements and three loops (D, anti-codon, and T loops). The record is from Rfam by way of RNAcentral. Lineage: Eukaryota; Metazoa; Chordata; Mammalia; Carnivora; Felidae.